This 3529-nucleotide unclassified non-coding RNA is filed under the name Hevea brasiliensis (rubber tree). Lineage: Eukaryota; Viridiplantae; Streptophyta; Magnoliopsida; Malpighiales; Euphorbiaceae. The record is from RNAcentral.
AUGGAGCCAGAGAAGGCAGAGUGGUGAGCGACACAAUUCCAUUUUACCUUUGAUUACUUGGUUUUCAAUUUUAUGAUUUCCCCCCUCUCUUGCAAUUCAUUUUCCAGUUUUGAUAUGUAAUCAAGUUGAAAUUAAUAUGUUGGAAGAGGCCACAAGUCAAAGUUAUGUACGCUUUUAGGAAUUUACUUUGGGUAAUACAAAAUCAUUCUUAGCUUAGUUACAAGAAUGCGAAAAUAAUAUUAAGUCUUUUCCUAGCCUAAUUGGUUUAAAUGCCAUAGGACAACUAUGUUAUUGUUUUAAGGAUUUGAAAGCACAUCCUUAUUGUUUUGAACACCUGCUUUUGUGUAGUUCCAGAAAAUCAGGAAAUCAUGUACACAACCUUUACUUGUAGUCAGAAGAACAUAUAAUAUAUUGGAAUUUUUGUUGGUUGCAUCAUCGUCUUCUGGUUGGACAGACUAUGUCUUGAGUUUGUGAGUAGAAAUAUCUCAGAUCCUUAAAUUGCAUCCUUGUGAUUGCAUGCAUAUAUUAUUCAGGCAAUUUAUCUUUAUCGAAAUUCUUUCUUGGUUGGAGAAAUAUGUCUCAUCUGUUUCAUUGGUUUUCUUUGUUCUGCUUCCAACUUUAUGUCUGUAGUUUCAAUAUGAUUUGCAAUUGGAAAUUUUACUUCUCUUAGCUUCUUUAUAUCAAAAUAUCUUCUGUGAUUUCUUUUUGGAAGUUUAGCUGGUUGUAUAUUUUUCUUUUGUUAUUAUUGUGCCAAUCUACUCCAUAGGAAUGAUGGUAGUUGCUGCCAGAGUCCUUAAGUAAUCAGAUUCAGGUAUGAUUUGUUGAUUUUAUUUUGGAUUCCCACCUGCAGUAACCAUACAGUCUUCAGAGGGAUAGCCUGAUUGUGAACUCAUUUAUCAUCUGAAUCCUUUUUCUAACUGCGUGCUUGACCUGUAAUUACUUGUUUUUCUGCCUUUAAUUCUGUUUGGGAGGUAAUUCCAUAUUUCUUUUAUUAGCAAAGAUUGUUGCUUUGCCUCUGCUGAGCACCAUUGCGUAGCUUCUGGUUGCUGAUUUAACUUUCCUGCCUCUUCUCUGUGCUCUUUAGGCCUUUGUGUUUGUUGUUUUUGUGCCUUGUAAGUAUUGUAAGUGAGAUGCAAUUCUAUGUAUUUUUUUUUUUAAUUAUCAAAAGAUUGUUGCUUUACCUCCUCUGUGUACCAUUGCAUAGCUUCUGGGUUCUGAUUUCACUCUUCUUCCUCUUCUGUUUGCUCUGUAGGCCUUAAAGGUUGUUUCUAUACUUUCUGGGUUCUGUAUAGGCCAAAGAGAUGCUGCUUUUGCUUUUUGAGUCCCUUUACUUUUUGCUUGGGCUCUUCCACUUUGUGCUUCAGCCUUAUAGUGUUACUAGUUUGGCUUCUUGUUUAGUUUUUGUACUUAUCCAUUUCUAAGUCACGGGCUUCAUAUUUUGGAUCUUAAAAAUAAGUGCAAGCAUUAUCUCCCAAGUCAUGUUUAGACCAUAGAGCCAAGGUCAACCAAGAAGGAUGUCCGUAGCAAUCAUGGGAAUUUCGUUACUCUAAAUAUACAGCAAAAGAACUAUAAGCCAUAUUUACAGAAAUGCAAAUCCGAGGUCUGUGCAGCAUUUCUUGUCUUUGGAUCGGGGGGUUGAAGUCCUUCAUUUUUACAGAGAAGUAGAUUUCUGUUUGGAUUGAUUGGCAAACUGUGCUUCAUAUUUUACUCUAGGAGCUCAUAGACUUGACCAUCCUCCAGUCAGUAUUAUUUCGUGGCUCCUUAAUAUUGCUUGUGGCGCUUCAUGUGCUAGACAAGUAGUGAUGUAAUUCUUUUUUUGAGUUUAGUUCCUCUAUUCUACCAAAAAAAAAAGAGCACUAUAAGCCAUAAAGAAAGAAACAAUAGAACACUGAGCUGCUGAUGGCAAAUAAAUAGCUUUUUUUAUUAAUAUAAUGGCCCUGACCUAUUAAUAAUGAAUUUUAUUCAGUUAGGACACCCAGUUGACCCCACUUCUAUUUCUUCAGCAGUCAAAGCCCAAGGACAAAUGAGUUCUUGAGUCAGCAAGCUUUCUGCAUCAAUUUUUUUUCCCUUUUUUAUUGCAUUGACAUCACCCCCCUUUGAGGAUAGUCGAUAGUGUCAUCAAGAUAACCGAUAGAAUCUUAGUCCCUUCCAUUCUCUUCCUGAUAAAAUGGUUUGCUUCAAUGGAAGUACCAACAAUCCAUGCUGCUUUGUUUGGUUGAUGACAUAACUUGAUAUGUUUAACCAUAAUAGAUAUAGACAUGAGCUUUAUAAUUAUAGUAUGUUCAUGGCAAAUAUAUAUGGUACAUUAAAAUGAAUGGAUGUUUGAUAUUUACAUGUAUGCUUUUUGAGAGUAAAGAAAAGGAAAAAGUGAAGUAUCUAUCUCAUCCUUUUCCAAAUCGUCAAAGUCAUGCACCCCAUAAUGACCAACAGUUGGUAUUUUCUGGUGUUGACAUUAGGCUAAAUUGGACAACUAGGAUUCAAAAGAAUCAAAAAAUUUUGAAAUCAAAUGAAAAUGCUUGCAGAAUUAAGGGAAACAUAACAGAUUUUAGCUUUUCACACACAGAUUUUCCCCUCAAAAUACGUAGGGUUUAAUCAUUAUCACCUGUAGUGUUUGGUUGCUUCAUAUAUAUCCAAGGAAGGCAUGGCUGAUAAUCUUUUAAAACCAUUCGCUAUUUGUUCUAUAUAGAUUAUGUAGAUGUUUAUAUAUAGAAAGACACUCAAAAUUCUUAAUGCUUAUAAGUUUGAAUUCCUAAAUGGAAAAAUAUAAAAUUUGUUACUUUGACUAAGACUAAUUGAAAUAAAAUCGCGCAGCAAAUCCAAAAUUUGGACAAAAAUGUUAAGAGUCCAAGAAACCCAUUUAACUUUUUGUUGAAAUAAUAAAUUAAUGAUGCUCUUGUGAAGUGGGCUGUUGUCUUGGUUUCAAAUCUCACAUUUGGGAGGUGAAUAUUAUGAUCUUAUUUUAGCUAGUAAGCAACUGGAUGACUUGACAAAAUUCUAGUUUGCUUGAAAUUAAUUACAAUUGUAAAACAUUAUCAUGGAUUUGAAGCUGACUUUUUCAUGUAAUAUACUCAUGGAGUGUUAUCUUAAUAUAGCAGUAUGAAAGAAUAACAUAAUAUAUUCUUAUGGCCAUCUAGAGAUAAAUGGGGUUUGAAUGUAUUUUGAUUUUGAGAGUAAUGCAUAUAACUAUCAGUGCUUCACUAAAUGAUAAUUUAUUACUCUUGUUUAGUAAUUUCCUGCAUUCCAAAAUUGACUUUCAUAUAGUGGGAGAGGCAUCAAAAGGAUCAAGGGACAGGCACUUAUGUUAUUUUGUCUGUGCUCAUAUUUCAUUGUACUAUUUGCUGUAUGAAAAAAUAUGAUGUAAUGUAAUGUGUAUUUUACCACUCAUAUUGUCAUUGUUUAUACAUUCUUAUAGGAUAUGCUUUACUGUUGCAUGUUUAUUAACCUACUGACAUACAACUUUAUUUGUUUCAAGCCAUUUUUAAUAAUCAGAUGAUUGUUCUUACCAGGGGAUUCAAAGCGCUGAAACAAA